Molecule: ribosomal RNA, 200 nt
Filed under: uncultured bacterium
Lineage: Bacteria
Description: partial 16S ribosomal RNA
Rfam family: Bacterial small subunit ribosomal RNA
Source: RNAcentral
AGUGAACGCUGGCGGCAGGCCUAAUACAUGCGAGUCGAACGGCAGCACAGCAGAGCUUGCUCUGUGGGUGGCGAGUGGCGGACGGGUGAGGAAUACAUGGGAAUCUGCCCAGUCGUGGGGGAUAACGUAGGGAAACUUACGCUAAUACCGCAUGCGCCCUUCGGGGGAAAGCCGGGGACCGUUCGGGCCUGGCGCGAUUG